Molecule: ribosomal RNA, 756 nt
Filed under: Triticum aestivum (bread wheat)
Lineage: Eukaryota; Viridiplantae; Streptophyta; Magnoliopsida; Poales; Poaceae
Description: partial small subunit ribosomal RNA
Source: RNAcentral
AUGCGACAUACUUUCGUCCCUGCUUAUUAUACUCGUGACAUGAUUAAGAAGUUGCAACACUUAAAACAAGCUAGUGAAACUGUAACAAAAUAUUAUGAUGAUUUACAAACUACCUUGUUGCAUUCCUCUUUAGAAGAAAGUGAAGAUGAUUUUAUGGAUAGAUUUUGGGGAGCAUUAAACCGUGAUAUUCAAGAGAUACUAAUUCAUGAAGAGUGUUAUCCUAUGGUCCAUUUGUUUCAUCUUGCUUGCAAAGCUGAACAGGAAAUAAAACGACGUGUUGGCCACGAGGAGAACAAGCGCACGGUGCACAUUCCAAGAGUUGAUAUGAUUGUUCCUUCAACUACUUGGCAUACUAUGACAACCACAUCCGUUGUUGUCAGGACUACAUCACCUCCACCAUGUGAUACAUCGCCUCCGAGAGUGGCUACAUCAUCUGAGUUGAUCAUAAGAGGUAAUGACAAAGGUACUGACCUUCCAUCUCUACAUGAGAAUGAUGAAUGCCUUGUCAAUUUGAAUGCACCAUCUGAUGAGAUACCCACUACUUUGAUCACACCACCUAUUUUAGAGGACUACGUUGAUAAUUUGACUUUGCCAUGUGAUCAAACAACUGAAAUACCAACAAUUUUGAGUGCACCCAUUGAAUUAACUAUUGAUGCAAAACAACCAAUGUUUAAUCAUUUUGAUAUGACCUCUAAUCUUGGUGAUGAUUCUGUGUUGAAUGACUUAUGCAUGUUUCCUUAUUUAAGCAUGUUGUAG